UUGUUUAAUUUAAGUCAAACUUCCAAGAAAAGCUCUUAUUACUGUUAAAUUAAAAUAACCUGUACCCUAAACUGACACAAGUAGGUCGGUAGAGAAUACUAAGGGGCGCGAGAUAACUCUCUCUAAGGAACUCGGCAAAAUGGCCCCGUAACUUCGGGAGAAGGGGUGGUGUUAUUUUCUAAAUAACUCCCGCAGCGACCAGGCCCAGGCGACUGUUUAUCAAAGACACAGGUCUCCGCAAAGUCGUAAGACAAUGUAUGGGGGCUGACGUCUGCCCAGUGCCGGAAGGUAAAAGAAGUCGGUUAUUCUUUAGAAAAAGCUGACGACUGAAGCCCCGGUGAACGGCGGCUGUAACACUGACAGUCCUAAGGUAGCGAAAUUCCUUGUCGAGUAAGUUUCGACCCGCACGAAAGACGUAACGAUCUGGGCACUGUCUCGGAGAGAGACUCGGUGAAAUAGAAGUGUCUGUGAAGAUGCGGACUACUUAUACCAGGACAGAAAGACCCUAUGAAGCUUGACUGUAAUUUGGAAUUGAGUUCGGGCUUUUUUUGCGCAGUCUAGGUGGGAGGCAUUGAUGUAAAAUUUUUGGAUUUUAUGGAGCCAAAAUUGAGAGACCACCCUAAAAAGGCUAGAAUUCUAAUAGGACUCCUUGAAUCAGGAUCCUUGACAGUUUCAGAUGGACAGUUUGACUGGGGCGGUGAUCUCCUAAAAGGUAACGGAGAUGUGCAAAGGUUCUCUCAGGCUGGACGGAAAUCAGCUAUAGAGUGUAAAGGUAGAAGAGAGCUUGACUGCAAGACCAACAAGUCGAGCAGGGGCGAAAGCCGGCCUUAGUGAUCCGACGGUUCCGAGUGGAAGGGCCGUCGCUCAACGGAUAAAAGUUACUCUAAGGAUAACAGGCUGAUCUCCCCCAAGAGUUCACAUCGACGGGGAGGUUUGGCACCUCGAUGUCGGCUCAUCGCAACCUGGGGCUGGAGUCGGUCCCAAGGGUUGGGCUGUUCGCCCAUGAAAGCGGUACGUGAGCUGGGUUCAGAACGUCGUGAGACAGUUCGGUCCAUAUCCGGUAUAAGCGUAAGAGCAUUGAGAGGAUCUCAACAUUGUACGAGAGGACCCGAAGGGACGUACCUAUGGUGUACCAGUUCUUAUGCCAAUAGGAAACGCUGGGUAGCUAUGUACGGAGUGGAUAAUCGCUGAAAGCAUUUAAGUGAGAAGCCCACCUCAAGAUGAGUGCUCUCUAUUAGAUCACGGCAAGACAAGCCGGUACAUUGGUAUCAAGUGUAAGAUUAGUAAUAAUUUGAGCUGAGAUAUACAAACGUU
This 1314-nucleotide ribosomal RNA is filed under the name metagenome. RNAcentral describes it as "bacterial LSU rRNA". It matches the Rfam family "Bacterial large subunit ribosomal RNA", at positions 1586 to 2909 of the family's 2925-position model. The record is from RNAcentral.